AUCUGCUGCCUUAGAUUAGUGGCGAACGGGUGAGUAACACGUGAGUAACCUGCCCUUGACUCUGGGAUAAGCCUGGGAAACCGGGUCUAAUACUGGAUACGACCUUCUGGCGCAUGCCAUGUUGGUGGAAAGCUUUUGUGGUUUUGGAUGGACUCGCGGCCUAUCAGCUUGUUGGUGGGGUAAUGGCCUACCAAGGCGACGACGGGUAGCCGGCCUGAGAGGGUGACCGGCCACACUGGGACUGAGACACGGCCCAGACUCCUACGGGAGGCAGCAGUGGGGAAUAUUGCACAAUGGGCGCAAGCCUGAUGCAGCGACGCCGCGUGAGGGAUGAAGGCCUUCGGGUUGUAAACCUCUUUCAGUAGGGAAGAAGUCGCUCCUUCGGGGGUGGUGACGGUACCUGCAGAAGAAGCGCCGGCUAACUACGUGCCAGCAGCCGCGGUAAUACGUAGGGCGCAAGCGUUAUCCGGAAUUAUUGGGCGUAAAGAGCUCGUAGGCGGUUUGUCGCGUCUGCCGUGAAAGUCCGGGGCUUAACCCCGGAUCUGCGGUGGGUACGGGCAGACUAGAGUGCAGUAGGGGAGACUGGAAUUCCUGGUGUAGCGGUGAAAUGCGCAGAUAUCAGGAGGAACACCGAUGGCGAAGGCAGGUCUCUGGGCUGUAACUGACGCUGAGGAGCGAAAGCAUGGGGAGCGAACAGGAUUAGAUACCCUGGUAGUCCAUGCCGUAAACGUUGGGGCACUAGGUGUGGGGGACAUUCCACGUUUUCCGCGCCGUAGCUAACGCAUUAAGU
RNAcentral lists this ribosomal RNA (790 nucleotides) under Arthrobacter sp. RNAcentral's name for it is "bacterial SSU rRNA". It matches the Rfam family "Bacterial small subunit ribosomal RNA", at positions 78 to 865 of the family's 1533-position model. Lineage: Bacteria; Bacillati; Actinomycetota; Actinomycetes; Micrococcales; Micrococcaceae. The record is from RNAcentral.